RNAcentral lists this ribosomal RNA (407 nucleotides) under uncultured bacterium. RNAcentral's name for it is "partial 16S ribosomal RNA". It matches the Rfam family "Bacterial small subunit ribosomal RNA", at positions 28 to 526 of the family's 1533-position model. The record is from RNAcentral.
GACGAACGCUGGCGGCGUGCCUAAUACAUGCAAGUAGAACGCAGUUUCGCACGGGUGAGUAACGCGUAGGUAACUGCCUCAUAGCGGGGGGUAACUAAUGGAAACGAUAGCUAAUACCGCAUACUGUGGGAUGGACCUGCGUUGUAUUAGCUAGUUGGUGAGGUAAAGGCUCACCAAGGCGACGAUACAUAGCCGGCCUGAGAGGGAUAUCGGGCCAACUGGUAACUAGGACCGGGCCCGGCUCCUACGGGAGGGCGCAGGAGGGAAUCUUUGGCAAUGGACUGAAGUCUGACCGAGCAACGCCGCGUGAGUGAAGGAGGUUUUCGGAGCGUAAAGCUCUGUUGGUAGAGGAGCGGUAACUAACCAGAAAGGGACGGCUAACUACGUGCCAGCAGCCGCGGUAAUAC